AACGGUGUGAAGUCCUGUUCCGACCCGGAGUCGGCCUUCUAUUAAAACAGCAGAGACAGAGAAAGAAUUUUAGACUCUUACUAUUGACUGGUCUAAACUCGUCAUGAAGUCACUUGUACUCAGUCUGUUGUUGGUAUUUGUGUUGCUCAGUGUUACCGCUAACGCCAUAUUCUGGGGAAGACGGCGCUGUAGACCCGUGUGUCUGUUCAUGCGCUGUAUGUGCGGACGUGUAGUGAAGAACGGGUGUCCGACCUGCGCGUGCAAAUCGUGUACAUUUUCCUAGCAAUACAAAAUGUCCGCAUCUGUGUCACAAGGGUUAAUUCAGAUUCAUACCACGUGACAAACUGAUGACGUUCGAAAGAAUACAGCCAGCAUAAAAAUAAAACAUAAAAUUGCU
Gigantopelta aegis is the source of this 397-nucleotide long non-coding RNA. RefSeq lists it as uncharacterized. The record is from RefSeq and is a predicted model, not a curated record. NCBI's taxonomy places the organism in Eukaryota, Metazoa, Mollusca, Gastropoda, Neomphalida, Peltospiridae. The transcript has 4 exons.